GGGAUAUUCAUCGUCAGCGAUGCUGGUACGUGUGCGGUUCGCGAUGCCGGAGACUUCGGUCUCGCGGCACGCGUCCGCAUGUUUCUUAUUGCCUGGUAUCGUCGGCGUGCACUUCUCCCCUAGUAGGACGUCGCGACCCGUUGGGUGUCGGUCUACGGCCCGGGUGGGUGCCUGUCUCGUGUGCGCUUUACGGCGUCACUGCGGGGCAGACCCCCGGCUGCCCGACCGGCUGCCCGGCGGUACUCGCAAGGUAUCUGGCCGCAAAUAUUCGAACUGCGUCCGGCCCGUCGCAAGCGAGGCGAGUGUUUCCCGAAUGCACGGAUCUAACGCCGUCAUCGGGCCUUGCCGGCUGUUGGUCGACGGUGUCAUAGGACWGGU
Molecule: ribosomal RNA, 378 nt
Filed under: Diacritus aciculatus
Lineage: Eukaryota; Metazoa; Arthropoda; Insecta; Hymenoptera; Ichneumonidae
Description: eukaryotic LSU rRNA
Source: RNAcentral